Molecule: unclassified non-coding RNA, 440 nt
Filed under: Hevea brasiliensis (rubber tree)
Lineage: Eukaryota; Viridiplantae; Streptophyta; Magnoliopsida; Malpighiales; Euphorbiaceae
Source: RNAcentral
UUGACAUUUCUAUAUACGAAUAGUAUACGCAUAUCUAUCGCAUACAGACCAUAGGCCCCCGUUCCGUCAGGUUCGAUUGAUAAGCCAGAAUCUGCGUACACGGUGGAUACAUAGUACAGGAGUACACGCGUGAAGAUCAAGGUUACAGAUGAGAACAUGACGAAAAUUUGGGACGCGCUGGAUCGCGCUAAUGGCGAGGCGCGGAAAUACACGGCUCUCCCCGGCGAUAUCUUCGCCCUCGCGAGCAGGGCGGAAGAGUCGCUCAUCGCGAGCGGCCUGCCCGCCCGCAACCGCUCAGGCUGCGAGGUAGUGUGGCACGCGGGUGGCCCGUCGACGAACGCCUACAGCUACAAGAUGCUGCGCACGCGCAUCACCCUGACGCGCGGCUUCGAAAGCUGGUUCUUGACUGGCCUGGAGCGCAUCGGCGUGUACCCCCGCCA